Molecule: ribosomal RNA, 515 nt
Filed under: Gynacantha japonica
Lineage: Eukaryota; Metazoa; Arthropoda; Insecta; Odonata; Aeshnidae
Description: partial 16S rRNA
Rfam family: Bacterial large subunit ribosomal RNA
Source: RNAcentral
GUCUUCUUGUUAUAUUUAGGAAGUCUGGCCUGCCCAGUGAAAAUAAUUUAACGGCCGCGGUAUACUGACCGUGCAAAGGUAGCAUAAUCAUUAGUCUUUUAAUAGAGGGCUGGUAUGAAGGGUUUAACGAGGUGUUGACUGUCUCAUUUAAUUUGAAUUUAGAAUUUAAUUUUUUAGUUAAAAAGCUGAAAUAUUAUUGGAAGACGAGAAGACCCUAUAGAGCUUUAUAUUUUUAUUAAUAAUUUAUUAUAGAUUAUUAUUAUUAUUUAUUAUUAUUAUAAAAUAUUUUGUUGGGGUGACAAAAAUAUAUAAUUAACUUUUUUAUUUAUUUUACAUUGAUAUAUGAAUAUUAGAUCCAAUCUUAUUGAUUGUUAGAUUAAGUUACCUUAGGGAUAACAGCGUAAUCCCUCUCCAGAGUUCAUAUUUACAGAGGGGCUUGCGACCUCGAUGUUGGAUUAAGAUAAUAAUUAGGUGCAGCCGCUUAAUUAAUAGGUCUGUUCGACCUUUAAAUUCUU